RNAcentral lists this ribosomal RNA (450 nucleotides) under uncultured bacterium. RNAcentral's name for it is "bacterial SSU rRNA". It matches the Rfam family "Bacterial small subunit ribosomal RNA", at positions 354 to 796 of the family's 1533-position model. The record is from RNAcentral.
GUGGGGAAUAUUGGACAAUGGGCGAAAGCCUGAUCCAGCCAUGCCGCGUGUGUGAAGAAGGUCUUCGGAUUGUAAAGCACUUUAAGUUGGGAGGAAGGGCAGUAAGCUAAUACCUUGCUGUUUUGACGUUACCGACAGAAUAAGCACCGGCUAACUUCGUGCCAGCAGCCGCGGUAAUACGAAGGGUGCAAGCGUUAAUCGGAAUUACUGGGCGUAAAGCGCGCGUAGGUGGUUUUGUAAGUUGAAGGUGAAAUCCCCGGGCUCAACCUGGGAACUGCCUCCAAAACUGGAUGACUAGAGUACGGUAGAGGGUAGUGGAAUUUCCUGUGUAGCGGUGAAAUGCGUAGAUAUAGGAAGGAACACCAGUGGCGAAGGCGACUACCUGGACUGAUACUGACACUGAGGUGCGAAAGCGUGGGGAGCAAACAGGAUUAGAUACCCGGGUAGUCC